GACCAGGUCCUGCGCGGCAGGACCUCCGAACUGUGUCAGGCCUUGACGGGAGCAGCACUAAGGAGUAUCUCCUGGGUGUCGCAGAUCAGCCUGGCCUGG
RNAcentral lists this signal recognition particle RNA (99 nucleotides) under Anaerolineaceae bacterium. RNAcentral's name for it is "signal recognition particle sRNA small type". It matches the Rfam family "Bacterial small signal recognition particle RNA". From Rfam's summary of the family: The signal recognition particle (SRP) is a universally conserved ribonucleoprotein involved in the co-translational targeting of proteins to membranes. Archaeal SRP consists of a 7S RNA and homologues of the eukaryotic SRP19 and SRP54 proteins. Lineage: Bacteria; Bacillati; Chloroflexota; Anaerolineae; Anaerolineales; Anaerolineaceae. The record is from RNAcentral.